AUGUGUGGGGGGUGUCUCCUCCUGCCAAUCCCCACCCCCAGCAGCAUCAGGUCUGUGCUGUUCGGGGUUUUGUUAAGCCGUUUAGUAUUAAUUGAUUUUUUUUUCCAUUUUUUCUUUCUUUCCCUGGGCGGGUCAAUAGCUGGAUGCUCAAGAGCAGAGGAUCUAUCAACUGCAGACCAAGCAGAGGGAGAGGCAGGCAGACCUGGAGCAGAAAUGCAGCCAGAGCAUCAGCUCAGCCAGGACCUGGGGGCCAGCCACCAGCUACGGAAGGGAGCUUGGAGCAGAUGUUUAGCAGCUGUCCCCAGUCUCCAAGGUAUGACACAGCCAGGUGGUCCUAACCUUGCUGAAGAUGUGGGGCAUUUGCACCAUUUUUCUCACAAGAUCUCACUGCAGUCUCAGCUGCUGUAGCUCUGUUCCUCCUCAGGAAUUAGGCUUGGGGCUGUGCUAGAAUAAAAUCAGAUGAAGAUGGAGAGAUAGAUCUGUG
This 484-nucleotide long non-coding RNA is filed under the name Zonotrichia albicollis (white-throated sparrow). RNAcentral's name for it is "lncRNA (ENSZALG00000004226.1)". The record is from RNAcentral. Lineage: Eukaryota; Metazoa; Chordata; Aves; Passeriformes; Passerellidae.